This 631-nucleotide long non-coding RNA is filed under the name Ursus maritimus (polar bear). RNAcentral's name for it is "lncRNA (ENSUMAG00000013545.1)". The record is from RNAcentral. Lineage: Eukaryota; Metazoa; Chordata; Mammalia; Carnivora; Ursidae.
GAAAUAUCCACCUCAUGAGUUUAAAUGUCCCAAGGGAGUGUGUCUGAGAGGGGCUAACUUCCAACUUGGGCCAGAUCCCUGCAUACUUCUGGAGGCAGCUCGCUGGCCUCCACCAUCAUCCGCAAAUUAUUAUGGGGCAAGUUAACGGGGACCUGCUUUCUGCAGCGACUUUGCUCAGUGUUGAGGAUGCAGAGGUGACCGAGACGUCACUCCUGUCUCAAGAACUCAAGAGUAUAGCAGAAAAGGGAGACUAGAACAUUCAUGGUGAAACUUAUCAUCAGGUAUGAAGGAGGUAUGCAGAGGACAUCAGGAGGAAGAGUGGCACAGGAUAGGGGUAACGACAAACCAGGAAAAGCGAAGAAAGGCUUCCCAGGAGGCCGAUUCCAAUUUCGAGAGUAACCUGGCAUCUCCUUGUGGAGCAGGUGGAGGAUGGCAUUCUGGCGGGGGCCAGACCAGCUGUGAUGGCGCCAGGAGCGUUGGCUGGUCGGUGUGGUGGGAGCAGAGGACACGUGUGAGCCAUUUGCAAGACUCCCAUGUUCAUGGUGGUGGAGGGCUGCUGAAUGCGGCAAGACAGACCAGUCCACAGCCCCCUGGACAUUGGCGCAUGCCCGUGAGGAAGACGCAUGACUAA